GUACUUGCUUUGGCAGCACAUAUACUAAAACUGGAAUGAUACAGAGAAGGUUAGCAUGGUCCCUGUGCAAGGAUGACCCGCAUCUGCAGUGAUUAUUUGU
Molecule: small nuclear RNA, 100 nt
Filed under: Ochotona princeps (American pika)
Lineage: Eukaryota; Metazoa; Chordata; Mammalia; Lagomorpha; Ochotonidae
Source: RNAcentral